UUGCCAGACUCCUACGGGAGGCAGCAGUGGGGAAUAUUGCACAAUGGGGGAAACCCUGAUGCAGCGACGCCGCGUGAGCGAUGAAGUAUUUCGGUAUGUAAAGCUCUAUCAGCAGGGAAGAAAAUGACGGUACCUGACUAAGAAGCCCCGGCUAACUACGUGCCAGCAGCCGCGGUAAUACGUAGGGGGCAAGCGUUAUCCGGAUUUACUGGGUGUAAAGGGAGCGUAGACGGCGGUGCAAGCCAGAUGUGAAAGCCCGGGGCUCAACCCCGGGACUGCAUUUGGAACUGUGCUGCUAGAGUGUCGGAGAGGCAGGCGGAAUUCCUAGUGUAGCGGUGAAAUGCGUAGAUAUUAGGAGGAACACCAGUGGCGAAGGCGGUUUACUGGACCACAACUGACGCUGAGACACGAAAGCGUGGGGAGCAAACAGGAUUAAUACCCGCGUA
This 446-nucleotide ribosomal RNA is filed under the name uncultured bacterium. Its description in RNAcentral is "bacterial SSU rRNA". It matches the Rfam family "Bacterial small subunit ribosomal RNA", at positions 328 to 792 of the family's 1533-position model. The record is from RNAcentral.